This 85-nucleotide non-coding RNA is filed under the name Serratia odorifera DSM 4582. The record is from RNAcentral. Lineage: Bacteria; Pseudomonadati; Pseudomonadota; Gammaproteobacteria; Enterobacterales; Yersiniaceae.
UUCAAUGGUGGGCUGUGCGGGGGCACUUCGGUGCGCCGGUUUGGUAGAUCCCGGUAAGGCUAACCCCGUACAGUUCACCACCCAA